Molecule: long non-coding RNA, 3471 nt
Filed under: Salmo salar (Atlantic salmon)
Lineage: Eukaryota; Metazoa; Chordata; Actinopteri; Salmoniformes; Salmonidae
Description: lncRNA (ENSSSAG00000101588.1, ENSSSAG00000108061.1)
Source: RNAcentral
AUAUUAACACCGUGUUACAGUUGUAGGGUGCCAUAUUGCCUGGAUUAGAGGAAUUUGCACUUGCAUCUGCGACCGCAGUCGUCCCAGUGGCAGCUGCGUUAGACAAUAGGCGGCAGAGUAUAUAGUCAUGUUGGUAUCCCUCUGCCUGCCUGCUUGCUUGUGUCUCUAUUAACAGACAAGUACCCCGAUCAUCUGGAACCUGAAUUGCUGUUCUGUUUUGUAGCACUACGGAUUCAACUUUCAGAAAGGACAUUAGUACUGGUGAUAUUCUCACAACUGAUGAGUUUUCGGUUGAAGCUCACUAAACACGUUUCCAUCCAACCAUUUUAUCCAGAUGAAUUAUCUGUCCACGAAAAAAGUCACGACCGGGCUGAUGGAAACAUGAAAUGCCGGUACAAUUUAUAAAUGCCGUAGGAUAAUUUGGUCGUUCGACAUGGUAGGAUCUUUAUGUGUCGGUAAAAUUAAUUAUGCGAGUAAUGGCGGUGGAAACGCCUUUAUGCGCAAAUAUUGAUAAACACAUUAAUAACCAUCAUAUCGAAGCAAACUUGGAGUCACGCGAUGUUAUGUUGUGUGGUCCUACCACUACGACUUGGGAAAACAUGCAGUUUAUUAGGCUACAGAUGAAAUAAAUGAUGAUGAACUUCACAGGGUGGUGAAUGUGCAAGGUAAUGAGCUUGGAAUAAAUAUCGAGGGUAUUAUUGUCACGUUCUGACCAGUAAAGGGGUUAUUUGUUAUUGUAGUUUGGUCAGGACGUGGCAGGGGGGUAUUUGUUUUAUGUGGUUCGGGGUUUGUUAGUAUAUGUGUUUAUGUAGAGGGGUGUUUGGUUAGAGUAUUCCGGGGUUGGGUUAUGUUCUUUAUUUCGUAUUUCUAUGUUGUGUCUAUGUUGUGUAUUUCUUUGUUGGCCUGGUAUGGCUCUCAAUCAGGAACAGCUGUACAUCGUUGUUGCUGAUUGAGAGUCAUACUUAGGUAGCCUGUUUUCACCUGUCCCUUUGUGGGAAGUUGUGGUUGCAUAGCUGUGUGUUUUAGCCUGCAAUCCUGUUCGUGCGAUCGUUUUGUUUGUGUUCAAUAAAAGUCAUUAUGAGCACUCAACUUGCUGCGCCUUGGUCCACUACGUAUGACGACCGUUACAAUUAUUCUGGUGACAUGAUCGAUGCUUGGCUGCCGUUUGACAAAUACAAAUAAUAUCUCUCUUAUCCAUAAUAAUCUCAUAAUGUAGGUAGCCUUCCCGCAAUUUAUCUACGAGCUGUUGGCUAGAAUGCAUGUGCCAAGACCAGAGUGAGGACAUUUGCAAUAUACCAACAGUUUUUGUGGCAAAACCAUCAGGAGAGUUAAAAAUGUGAUGGAAACCCAUUUAAUUUCUAUUUUUCAUUCUAUAUAUGGGAAUUUAACUGUCAAAGUUAUUUUUAUGUGCACUACGUCAUCACGCACAUGCUUUUAUCCGCAAACAGUAAUUUAAUGUAAACACAUGGUGGGAAAAUGCUCAUAUUGUUUUAGGUAGAUGAGAAUAUUCGCAUGAAAAUCUGUUGCAAUUUAGAUGGAAACCUAGCUAUAAUUUGGAUGGAAACCUAGCCAUAUUUUCACCUUUUGCUAACUGUGUGUUUGGUUUUACCUUCCUUGUGGGGACCAGAAGUCCUCACAAGUAUAGUAAAACAAAACAAUAUGAGCUGGUCCACACAAGGAAAAAGGCUAUUUAGCUAUAGUUAGAGUUAGGAUUUUAAUUUACAUGUUUUUAUUUAACUAAGUAAGUCAGUUAAAAACAAAUUCUUAUUUACAAUGACGGCAUAGGCCGGGGGCCAAACCCAGACGACGCUGGGCCAAUUGUGCGCAACGGCCGGAUGUGAUACAGCCUGGAUUCAAAUCAGGGACUGUAAUGACACCUCUUGCACUGAGAUGCAUUGCCUUAGACUGCUGCGCCACUUGGGGAGCCACUUGGGGUUAGAGGUUAUGGAAAAUAGUAUUUUGAAUGGGAAUCAAUUCUUUGGUCCCCACAAGAAUAGUAAAUCAAACAUGUGUGUGUGUGUUUGAAAAAUCUGAUUUGGAAUGCUGCCACACUAGAAGAAGAAGCAAGGAACAACCUACUGUCAAGUCCAAAAUGAUUUACACCCUUGAUAAAGAUUAGUAAAAAAUACUGUAUAAAAUAAAUAAUAAAAAUACUGAGCUAUACUGUAUGCUCCAAAAAAUUGGGAAAUUGUAUUAUUUUAUAAUAAUACAAUUGCGCAGAGAAAGAGGUUUUGUUUAAAAAGUAAUCUUUUUUUCUUCUAAAAAAGAUAGGGGUCAAAAUUAUUUGCACCCGUUUUCAAUAUCUUUCAAUAUACCUCACCUUGCGAGCUAACGGCACUGAGCCUUUUUCAAUAUACAUGGAGAACACUUUGUGCUUGGGGUUAUUGUCUUGCUUGAAUAUCCACUUGUGGCCAAGAUUUAGCCUCCCGGCAGAGACAACCAGGUUUUUGGCUAAAAUGUCCUGGUACUGGGUAAAGAUCAUGAUGCUGUUAACUUUAACUAGGGCCCCAGGAUCCACCACCAUAUUUUACAGUAAGUAUGGAGUUAUUUUCUGCCUAUCAAAUCCUUUCGUCGCCAAACCCACUACUGGUGUGCGUGGCCAAAGAGCUCCAUUUUCAUGUCAUCAGACCAUACCACUGGUUUCAAUCCAAGUGCCAAUGUCGUUAGCAAACUCCAGGCGUUUACAUUUGUUGGGUGACGUGAAAAUAAAACUCUUUAGCCAUGUACACCAGUGGUGGGUUGGCGCCUCCCAUUGGGUUGUGCCGUGGCGGAGAUCUUUGUGGGCUAUACUCGGCCUUGUCUCAGGAUGGUAAGUUGGUGGUUGGAGAUAUCCCUCUAGUGGUGUGGGGGCUGUGCUUUGGCAAAGCGGGUGGGGUUAUAUCCUGCCUGUUUGGCCCUGUCGGGGGGUAUCGUCGGACGGGGCCACAGUGUCUCCCAACCCCUCCUGUCUCAGCCUCCAGUAUUUAUGCUGCAGUAGUUUGUGUCGGGGAGCUAGGGUCAGUCUGUUAUAUCUGGAGUAUUUCUCCUUUAUUAUCUGGUGUCCUGUGUGAAUUUAAGUAUGCUCUCUCUAAUUCUUUCUCUCUCUCGGGGGACCUGAGCCCUAGGACCAUGCCUCAGGACUACCUGGCCUGAUGACUCCUUGCUGUCCCCAGUCCACCUGGCCGUGCUGCUGCUCCAGUUUCAACUUUUAUUUUUAUUUCACCUUUAUUUAACCAGUGUUCAAAUAAAAGUUAAAAUGAGCACUCAACCCGCUGCGCCUUGGUCCACUUCAUACGACCACCGUUACAGAACUUCCCACCACAAAUGGACCAAGCAGCAGGGUAAGGAGCAGCAGAGGAAUUAUAUGGACUAUGGGGAAUCAUGGACAUGGGAGGAAAUUCUGGACCAUGGCACCAGGCUGGUGAAUACCGUCGCCCACCGGAGGAAAUAGAGGCAGCCAAGGCGGAGCGACGACGUUAUGAGGCAUUAUAC